GGUCAGUCAGACCAGAGUCUCUCCGACGCGUCCGUAGCCGACGACGUAGACACGAGUGAGACUUUCCCACCAUCGAUGGUCGAAGGUCUCGCCAUCCCCGCCAUUGAUAACGUGGAUGUCAAUAACAUCGCGGCAGCGGAUCCAGCGGCACUUGUAGAAGCACUAGCCGGAGAAACGCAGCCGGACUUGGAUGACCGCCCUGUUAUUCCUGGGAGUGCUGACAGGACAUUGGCCAAUAACGCGAGAACGCUG
Molecule: long non-coding RNA, 252 nt
Organism: Branchiostoma floridae (Florida lancelet)
Lineage: Eukaryota; Metazoa; Chordata; Leptocardii; Amphioxiformes; Branchiostomatidae
Exons: 3
Source: RefSeq, a predicted model, not a curated record